UUUCCGUAGGUGAACCUGCGGAAGGAUCAGUA
This 32-nucleotide ribosomal RNA is filed under the name Cryptococcus neoformans. RNAcentral's name for it is "partial 18S ribosomal RNA". The record is from RNAcentral. Lineage: Eukaryota; Fungi; Basidiomycota; Tremellomycetes; Tremellales; Cryptococcaceae. RNAcentral also lists the same sequence under 2 other names.